CCUACGGGGGGCAGCAGUGGGGGAUAUUGCACAAUGGAGGAAACUCUGAUGCAGCGACGCCGCGUGAGGGAAGACGGUCUUCGGAUUGUAAACCUCUGUCUUUGGGGAAGAAAAUGACGGUACCCAAAGAGGAAGCUCCGGCUAACUACGUGCCAGCAGCCGCGGUAAUACGUAGGGAGCGAGCGUUGUCCGGAAUGACUGGGCGUAAAGGGAGUGUAGGCGGCAAUAUAAGUUAGAUGUGAAAUCCCGCGGCUCAACCGCGGAACUGCAUCUAAAACUAUAUAGCUGGAGUGCAGGAGAGGUGAGUGGAAUUCCUAGUGUAGCGGUGGAAUGCGUAGAUAUUAGGAGGAACACCAGAGGCGAAGGCGACUCACUGGACUGUAACUGACGCUGAGGCUCGAAAGCGUGGGGAGCAAACGGGAUUAGAUACCCUUGUAGUC
RNAcentral lists this ribosomal RNA (440 nucleotides) under uncultured bacterium. Its description in RNAcentral is "partial 16S ribosomal RNA". It matches the Rfam family "Bacterial small subunit ribosomal RNA", at positions 338 to 795 of the family's 1533-position model. The record is from RNAcentral.